GAAUAUUUUGUGUUGAUCAUCUGUAUAUGCUUCAUCAUUUUUAUCUGCAGACAAAACAUUCAUCAAGUCACCAUUACCAAUCUAUUGUGUACAGUUCCGUACAUGCGUAGUUUGCUCAAGGUUCCCUUUAAGCGUAGAACAAAACAAACCUCAUAAGCACCUCGUAAGCUCCAUGAUCUGAAAAUGGGUUGUCUGUUUUGCAAGUCCCUCCUGGCCUCUUUAUACCAUCCAUCCUCCGUGACGCUUAUCGCUAGUAGGGCCGGCCGGCUAUUCGGUAGGCCUCUCUGAGAAAACCUUUUGGAAAAGACAAGCUAUAUGGACCCAACCAACUCUUUUUGGGAGGGCAGAACUCCCUCACAUGGUAGGCUACAACCCAUGCAGAGAGUGCGGUGUCAUGCAUAGAUUGCAGAACAAAAGCCCUGGACAGUUGGAGGACCCUACAAUGAUUGAAGCACAUUGGCCCCAAGAUCUUAUGGUGUCAGUGCCAUGUGUGGACCAGUCUGAGGCACCUGUUGUAUAUGAGCAUGAAACCUUUCCCUCUCACUAAUGGUGAUGUGUCUGCCAAUGUCAAUACACCAUUCAAAAUCUCACCUCACAGUAGCCACCACCUGUGUAUGAGUGCUUGGCCUUUACACUAUUCCAAUCCUGUGACCGAGGACUGUACCCUUAAUGUGGAAUGAAGGAAUAAGACAAGAGUAUGAAUAGGAUAUAUUUAUAUGUGAUGUUGUCAUGAUGACAUUCUGUAAGCUUAUUUGUAUUUUGUCAUUUUUGAGAUACAUUUGCCAGGUUUGAACAACAUUUUGGUCAUAAUUUAAAUUAUUUUUAGAUGUUUUAGAUUUUCUAAAACAGUGAUUCUCAACUACUCUAUUCUAUUUGGAUUCUAUCCAACUGUUCUAUUCUAUUUCUACUUAAUUUUGUCCCGGUGCUAAAGGAGCGAUGAUCCAUUUGGCAUCUAUGCUGGCCUUACUGUGUAUUACUGAUGCUCAAGCACCCCAACAAAGAACACACAAUACAAUUAAACAAUUCUGA
This is a long non-coding RNA of Alosa sapidissima (American shad), 1029 nucleotides long. RefSeq lists it as uncharacterized. The transcript has 4 exons. The record is from RefSeq and is a predicted model, not a curated record. Lineage: Eukaryota; Metazoa; Chordata; Actinopteri; Clupeiformes; Clupeidae.